AUGGAACCUAGAUUUGGCACGCUGGAUGCCGGCGUCGUCCGCCCCAACACCGCAGCAGCCCACCGCCCACCACCAGCAAGACUCCCUCCCUCCUCCUAUCUCCUCCUACGCCACCGACGUCGUCCCUUCCUUGGCGCCUCUCCUGCCUCUUCUGCCACAGUAGUACCACACCCACCAUCACCACCACCUCGCCCUCCUCCUAGCCAUCUCUCCGCCCUCCCCCAUCUCCUACCAUUCCUGCAAAAAGGAGCACAAGCGCCCGCGGCUGGAAGUGGGCAACAGGUAGCGGUGAAAUUUCCUCCUCGUUUUCACUGUGAGUGGUUGCCUACAAUUGCCUAG
Molecule: ribosomal RNA, 339 nt
Filed under: Triticum aestivum (bread wheat)
Lineage: Eukaryota; Viridiplantae; Streptophyta; Magnoliopsida; Poales; Poaceae
Description: partial small subunit ribosomal RNA
Source: RNAcentral